Molecule: ribosomal RNA, 2929 nt
Filed under: Salmonella enterica subsp. enterica serovar Enteritidis
Lineage: Bacteria; Pseudomonadati; Pseudomonadota; Gammaproteobacteria; Enterobacterales; Enterobacteriaceae
Also listed under: 1 other name
Description: bacterial LSU rRNA
Rfam family: Bacterial large subunit ribosomal RNA
Source: RNAcentral
GGGUUGUGAGGUUAAGCGACUAAGCGUACACGGUGGAUGCCCUGGCAGUCAGAGGCGAUGAAGGGCGUGCUAAUCUGCGAUAAGCGCCGGUAAGGUGAUAUGAACCGUUAUAACCGGCGAUACCCGAAUGGGGAAACCCAGUGUGAUUCGUCACACUAUCAUUAACUGAAUCCAUAGGUUAAUGAGGCGAACCGGGGGAACUGAAACAUCUAAGUACCCCGAGGAAAAGAAAUCAACCGAGAUUCCCCCAGUAGCGGCGAGCGAACGGGGAGGAGCCCAGAGCCUGAAUCAGCAUGUGUGUUAGUGGAAGCGUCUGGAAAGGCGCGCGAUACAGGGUGACAGCCCCGUACACAAAAGCGCAUGUGCUGUGAGCUCGAUGAGUAGGGCGGGACACGUGGUAUCCUGUCUGAAUAUGGGGGGACCAUCCUCCAAGGCUAAAUACUCCUGACUGACCGAUAGUGAACCAGUACCGUGAGGGAAAGGCGAAAAGAACCCCGGCGAGGGGAGUGAAAAAGAACCUGAAACCGUGUACGUACAAGCAGUGGGAGCACAGGUUUACCUGUGUGACUGCGUACCUUUUGUAUAAUGGGUCAGCGACUUAUAUUCUGUAGCAAGGUUAACCGAAUAGGGGAGCCGGAGGGAAACCGAGUCUUAAUUGGGCGUUAAGUUGCAGGGUAUAGACCCGAAACCCGGUGAUCUAGCCAUGGGCAGGUUGAUGGUUGGGUAACACUAACUGGAGGACCGAACCGACUAAUGUUGAAAAAUUAGCGGAUGACCUGUGGCUGGGGGUGAAAGGCCAAUCAAACCGGGAGAUAGCUGGUUCUCCCCGAAAGCUAUUUAGGUAGCGCCUCGUGAAUUCAUCUCCGGGGGUAGAGCACUGUUUCGGCUAGGGGGCCAUCCCGGCUUACCAACCCGAUGCAAACUGCGAAUACCGGAGAAUGUUAUCACGGGAGACACACGGCGGGUGCUAACGUCCGUCGUGAAGAGGGAAACAAUCCAGACCGCCAGCUAAGGUCCCAAAGUCAUGGUUAAGUGGGAAACGAUGUGGGAAGGCCCAGACAGCCAGGAUGUUGGCUUAGAAGCAGCCAUCAUUUAAAGAAAGCGUAAUAGCUCACUGGUCGAGUCGGCCUGCGCGGAAGAUGUAACGGGGCUAAACCAUGCACCGAAGCUGCGGCAGCGACGCUUAUGCGUUGUUGGGUAGGGGAGCGUUCUGUAAGCCUGCGAAGGUGGCCUGUGAGGGUUGCUGGAGGUAUCAGAAGUGCGAAUGCUGACAUAAGUAACGAUAAAGCGGGUGAAAAGCCCGCUCGCCGGAAGACCAAGGGUUCCUGUCCAACGUUAAUCGGGGCAGGGUGAGUCGACCCCUAAGGCGAGGCCGAAAGGCGUAGUCGAUGGGAAACGGGUUAAUAUUCCCGUACUUGGUGUUACUGCGAAGGGGGGACGGAGAAGGCUAUGUUGGCCGGGCGACGGUUGUCCCGGUUUAAGCGUGUAGGUGUGUGUUCCAGGUAAAUCCGGUUCACUUUAACACUGAGGCGUGACGACGAGGCACUACGGUGCUGAAGCAACAAAUGCCCUGCUUCCAGGAAAAGCCUCUAAGCAUCAGGUAACACGAAAUCGUACCCCAAACCGACACAGGUGGUCAGGUAGAGAAUACCAAGGCGCUUGAGAGAACUCGGGUGAAGGAACUAGGCAAAAUGGUGCCGUAACUUCGGGAGAAGGCACGCUGAUAUGUAGGUGAAGCGGUUUACCCGUGGAGCUGAAAUCAGUCGAAGAUACCAGCUGGCUGCAACUGUUUAUUAAAAACACAGCACUGUGCAAACACGAAAGUGGACGUAUACGGUGUGACGCCUGCCCGGUGCCGGAAGGUUAAUUGAUGGGGUCAGCGCAAGCGAAGCUCCUGAUCGAAGCCCCGGUAAACGGCGGCCGUAACUAUAACGGUCCUAAGGUAGCGAAAUUCCUUGUCGGGUAAGUUCCGACCUGCACGAAUGGCGUAAUGAUGGCCAGGCUGUCUCCACCCGAGACUCAGUGAAAUUGAACUCGCUGUGAAGAUGCAGUGUACCCGCGGCAAGACGGAAAGACCCCGUGAACCUUUACUAUAGCUUGACACUGAACAUUGAGCCUUGAUGUGUAGGAUAGGUGGGAGGCUUUGAAGUGUGGACGCCAGUCUGCAUGGAGCCGACCUUGAAAUACCACCCUUUAAUGUUUGAUGUUCUAACGUGGACCCGUUACCCGGGUUGCGGACAGUGUCUGGUGGGUAGUUUGACUGGGGCGGUCUCCUCCUAAAGAGUAACGGAGGAGCACGAAGGUUGGCUAAUCCUGGUCGGACAUCAGGAGGUUAGUGCAAUGGCAUAAGCCAGCUUGACUGCGAGCGUGACGGCGCGAGCAGGUGCGAAAGCAGGUCAUAGUGAUCCGGUGGUUCUGAAUGGAAGGGCCAUCGCUCAACGGAUAAAAGGUACUCCGGGGAUAACAGGCUGAUACCGCCCAAGAGUUCAUAUCGACGGCGGUGUUUGGCACCUCGAUGUCGGCUCAUCACAUCCUGGGGCUGAAGUAGGUCCCAAGGGUAUGGCUGUUCGCCAUUUAAAGUGGUACGCGAGCUGGGUUUAGAACGUCGUGAGACAGUUCGGUCCCUAUCUGCCGUGGGCGCUGGAGAACUGAGGGGGGCUGCUCCUAGUACGAGAGGACCGGAGUGGACGCAUCACUGGUGUUCGGGUUGUCAUGCCAAUGGCACUGCCCGGUAGCUAAAUGCGGAAGAGAUAAGUGCUGAAAGCAUCUAAGCACGAAACUUGCCCCGAGAUGAGUUCUCCCUGAGACUUAGAGUCUCCUGAAGGAACGUUGAAGACGACGACGUUGAUAGGCCGGGUGUGUAAGCGCAGCGAUGCGUUGAGCUAACCGGUACUAAUGAACCGUGAGGCUUAACCUUACAACGCCGAAG